Humulus lupulus (European hop) is the source of this 808-nucleotide long non-coding RNA. RefSeq lists it as uncharacterized. Lineage: Eukaryota; Viridiplantae; Streptophyta; Magnoliopsida; Rosales; Cannabaceae. The transcript has 4 exons. The record is from RefSeq and is a predicted model, not a curated record.
UGAGAGACAUUUAAUUUAAUUAAUUAAUGUUAAGUUUGGUGAUUAAAACUUAAUAAGAGUGAAAAAAUGUGUCAAAAGUCAAUUUGGACUUUUCUUCUUAUAAACCUUUAUUAACCUUUAUAAAAAAUAAAAAAAAAUAAAAAAAAAUUAAUGGUCACAUAUAUGGAAAAGGGUGGCUGGCCAUGUGCUAUUUUAGAGUGGUGUGAACCCAAUUUUAUAAAAUUCAAAUCCCAUUUAAUUAAGAAGUCAAGUGGGCAAGUGGGUAGAAAAGCACUCAAGUGUUUUGUGAUAUUUUAAAGAGUUGUGUGAGCCAUUCUAACCCCCAAAUCCGACCACUCUCCCUCCCUCAUUCACUCUCAUCUGAUUUUUGAAGACUCUCUCAAGUGUUCUCUCCAUUUUGAACCCCAAGAACACCAAAGAAACUUGGAAGCUAAGUCUUGGUCUAGGAAGGGUUUUCCCUAAGUUGGUUAGGGUUUUUGAAAGGUUUUGAAGGAGUCAAAGCUUAUAGGAAGGUCCAAACCUUAAGCAAGAACACCAAAGAGUAUUGGCUAAGCGUAACUGGACUGAACGUUGGAGGGUGAAAACCUGCUGAGCGCUAAGGACUCCAAGUAAGAACAAGGGCAAGGCAGAGCAGUGAGCGCUGGAGUCUUCCUUGCAAAUGUACAUGUGGACCGAACUUUUGGGAAGCCUUUUUAUUUUUGGAAAUGUUGUGUAAUUUUCCUAAACUAGGCUCACUCUAAUCUUUAUAAAACAUGUUUGUAACUAAAUGUUAAGUAUGGCCAUACGACUUUUUAAAAAGUUUUUUUUC